UUUUAAUGCACUUUUUUUUCCAGGCAAAAGAGCUUCAGAAAACAUCCGUCACUAAGCAGUUUUACAAAUGGCACUUUUGGUUACAUUAGAUAAUUGGAUACCAGCCCCACGUGUCCUCUCUGACAGACUAGUUGUAGAUCAGCUUUACAAUGCAACUCUUUCUUAGGAUAAAAAAUGGUUAAUUUUUUCUAAAGAAAGGAAAAGCUGAAACCCUAAAGGCAUUGUUUUAAAAAUGUAACAUUUAUUUCAUGCUAUACUAUUUGUCCUCUUGGUAUUGAACUGAGGAAAAACAUAUUAUACCUGAAAUUCUUCUUUGCAUGAGUAAAACCAUGGUCAUGACACCAACAGACUCCAACCAAUUUGCAAAACUGAAAUCUUGGGUU
Molecule: long non-coding RNA, 383 nt
Filed under: Bos taurus (domestic cattle)
Lineage: Eukaryota; Metazoa; Chordata; Mammalia; Artiodactyla; Bovidae
Description: long non-coding RNA NONBTAT006617
Source: RNAcentral